GACAGAGGGGGCAAGCGUUGCUCGGAAUUACUGGGCGUAAAGGGCGCGUAGGCGGGAUGGCAAGUCGGUCGUGAAAUCCUUCGGCUCAACCGAAGAACGUCGAUCGAUACUGCUGUUCUUGAGGGUUGCAGAGGAGACUGGAAUUCCCGGUGUAGCGGUGAAAUGUGUAGAGAUCGGGAGGAACGCCGGUGGCGAAGGCGGGUCUCUGGGCAAUUCCUGACGCUGAGGCGCGAAAGCGUGGGGAGCAAACGGG
RNAcentral lists this ribosomal RNA (253 nucleotides) under uncultured bacterium. RNAcentral's name for it is "partial 16S ribosomal RNA". It matches the Rfam family "Bacterial small subunit ribosomal RNA", at positions 524 to 776 of the family's 1533-position model. The record is from RNAcentral.